Molecule: ribosomal RNA, 408 nt
Filed under: uncultured bacterium
Lineage: Bacteria
Description: bacterial SSU rRNA
Rfam family: Bacterial small subunit ribosomal RNA
Source: RNAcentral
AGAGUUUGAUCCUGGCUCAGAUUGAACGCUGGCGGCAUGCCUUACACAUGCAAGUCGAACGGCAGCACGGGGGCAACCCUGGUGGCGAGUGGCGAACGGGUGAGUAAUACAUCGGAACGUGUCCUGGAGUGGGGGAUAGCCCGGCGAAAGCCGGAUUAAUACCGCAUACGCUCGAGAGAGGAAAGCGGGGGAUCUUCGGACCUCGCGCUCAAGGGGCGGCCGAUGGCGGAUUAGCUAGUUGGUAGGGUAAAGGCUUACCAAGGCGACGAUCCGUAGCUGGUCUGAGAGGACGACCAGCCACACUGGGACUGAGACACGGCCCAGACUCCUACGGGAGGCAGCAGUGGGGAAUUUUGGACAAUGGGGGCAACCCUGAUCCAGCAAUGCCGCGUGUGUGAAGAAGGCCUU